This 219-nucleotide ribosomal RNA is filed under the name uncultured bacterium. RNAcentral's name for it is "partial 16S ribosomal RNA". It matches the Rfam family "Bacterial small subunit ribosomal RNA", at positions 118 to 334 of the family's 1533-position model. The record is from RNAcentral.
UAAGCAACCUGCCCCAAAGACCGGGACAACGUUCCGAAAGGAGCGCUAAUACCGGAUGUGCCCACUGAGUGACAUCGCUUAGUGAGUAAAUCGCGCAAUCGGCUUUGGGAGGGGCUUGCGGCCUAUCAGCUAGAUGGUGGGGUAACGGCCUACCAUGGCGACGACGGGUAGCUGGUCUGAGAGGAUGGUCAGCCGGAUUGGGACUGAGAUACGGCCCAG